Molecule: ribosomal RNA, 1675 nt
Filed under: Klebsiella pneumoniae
Lineage: Bacteria; Pseudomonadati; Pseudomonadota; Gammaproteobacteria; Enterobacterales; Enterobacteriaceae
Also listed under: 1 other name
Description: partial 23S ribosomal RNA
Rfam family: Bacterial large subunit ribosomal RNA
Source: RNAcentral
UGCUGGAGGUAUCAGAAGUGCGAAUGCUGACAUAAGUAACGAUAAAGCGGGUGAAAAGCCCGCUCGCCGGAAGACCAAGGGUUCCUGUCCAACGUUAAUCGGGGCAGGGUGAGUCGACCCCUAAGGCGAGGCCGAAAGGCGUAGUCGAUGGGAAACAGGUUAAUAUUCCUGUACUUGGUGUUACUGCGAAGGGGGGACGGAGAAGGCUAUGUUAGCCGGGCGACGGUUGUCCCGGUUUAAGCAUGUAGGCUGGUUGUCCAGGCAAAUCCGGAUAAUCAAGGCUGAGGUGUGAUGACGAGGCACUACGGUGCUGAAGUAACAAAUGCCCUGCUUCCAGGAAAAGCCUCUAAGCAUCAGGUAACAUCAAAUCGUACCCCAAACCGACACAGGUGGUCAGGUAGAGAAUACCAAGGCGCUUGAGAGAACUCGGGUGAAGGAACUAGGCAAAAUGGUGCCGUAACUUCGGGAGAAGGCACGCUGGUGUGUAGGUGAAGCCCCUGCGGGUGGAGCUGAGACCAGUCGAAGAUACCAGCUGGCUGCAACUGUUUAUUAAAAACACAGCACUGUGCAAACACGAAAGUGGACGUAUACGGUGUGACGCCUGCCCGGUGCCGGAAGGUUAAUUGAUGGGGUUAUCCGUAAGGAGAAGCUCUUGAUCGAAGCCCCGGUAAACGGCGGCCGUAACUAUAACGGUCCUAAGGUAGCGAAAUUCCUUGUCGGGUAAGUUCCGACCUGCACGAAUGGCGUAAUGAUGGCCAGGCUGUCUCCACCCGAGACUCAGUGAAAUUGAACUCGCUGUGAAGAUGCAGUGUACCCGCGGCAAGACGGAAAGACCCCGUGAACCUUUACUAUAGCUUGACACUGAACAUUGAGCCUUGAUGUGUAGGAUAGGUGGGAGGCUUUGAAGCGUGGACGCCAGUCUGCGUGGAGCCAACCUUGAAAUACCACCCUUUAAUGUUUGAUGUUCUAACGUUGGCCCCUUACCGGGGUUGCGGACAGUGUCUGGUGGGUAGUUUGACUGGGGCGGUCUCCUCCCAAAGCGUAACGGAGGAGCACGAAGGUUAGCUAAUCCUGGUCGGACAUCAGGAGGUUAGUGCAAUGGCAUAAGCUAGCUUGACUGCGAGCGUGACGGCGCGAGCAGGUGCGAAAGCAGGUCAUAGUGAUCCGGUGGUUCUGAAUGGAAGGGCCAUCGCUCAACGGAUAAAAGGUACUCCGGGGAUAACAGGCUGAUACCGCCCAAGAGUUCAUAUCGACGGCGGUGUUUGGCACCUCGAUGUCGGCUCAUCACAUCCUGGGGCUGAAGUAGGUCCCAAGGGUAUGGCUGUUCGCCAUUUAAAGUGGUACGCGAGCUGGGUUUAGAACGUCGUGAGACAGUUCGGUCCCUAUCUGCCGUGGGCGCUGGAGAAUUGAGGGGGGCUGCUCCUAGUACGAGAGGACCGGAGUGGACGCAUCACUGGUGUUCGGGUUGUCAUGCCAAUGGCACUGCCCGGUAGCUAAAUGCGGAAGAGAUAAGUGCUGAAAGCAUCUAAGCACGAAACUUGCCCCGAGAUGAGUUCUCCCUGAGACUUUAAGUCUCCUGAAGGAACGUUAAAGACGAUGACGUUGAUAGGCCGGGUGUGUAAGCGCAGCGAUGCGUUGAGCUAACCGGUACUAAUGAACCGUGAGGCUUAACCUU